This 262-nucleotide unclassified non-coding RNA is filed under the name uncultured fungus. RNAcentral describes it as "sequence contains ITS1". The record is from RNAcentral. Lineage: Eukaryota; Fungi.
UUGAUUGAUUUUCUGAUCAACCCGACGCAAAGAUGCAGCGUUAUGAUGGGGUCCGUCGGGGGCCCCGACGCCGACGUCGGCAUCCGACGCGACCGGGUCGCCCCCGAGGCAACAUGAGUGGGUUAAUCAAAGGGUUGGAGGUCGAGCCCGGGGGCUCUCACUCGGUAAUGAUCCCUCCGCAGGUUCACCUAAUGUCCGUCGUUAGCAUCGUAUUCCGUGAAGAAGAGGGUCGCGAGGGUCGAUAGUUACUCACCUACGGAGA